GUGCUCAGUUCAGUAGCGUAUAAAUUAAAAUUGGAACGAUACAGAGAAGAUUAACAUGACCCCUGCACAAGGAUGACACGCUAAUUCACGAAGUGUUCCAUAUUUUU
Rhincodon typus (whale shark) is the source of this 107-nucleotide small nuclear RNA. NCBI's taxonomy places the organism in Eukaryota, Metazoa, Chordata, Chondrichthyes, Orectolobiformes, Rhincodontidae. The record is from RefSeq and is a predicted model, not a curated record.